This 52-nucleotide ribosomal RNA is filed under the name Trebouxia suecica. RNAcentral's name for it is "partial large subunit ribosomal RNA". The record is from RNAcentral. Lineage: Eukaryota; Viridiplantae; Chlorophyta; Trebouxiophyceae; Trebouxiales; Trebouxiaceae.
UUUCGACCUGAGGUCAGGCAAGAACACCCGCUGAACUUAAGCAUAUCAAUAA